Molecule: long non-coding RNA, 416 nt
Organism: Sebastes umbrosus (honeycomb rockfish)
Lineage: Eukaryota; Metazoa; Chordata; Actinopteri; Perciformes; Sebastidae
Exons: 2
Source: RefSeq, a predicted model, not a curated record
UGUCACUUAUGAUGUCACAUGAACUGUGACAUCAUAAGUGACAUCACGGAACGUCGCCGAAAGUUUACUUAUAGAACCCCCGUUACGCCCAUCAAUCACAGAUCAAAAAACAAGUGUUUUUGGCCUCCGCUGUCGCAGACGAAGGACUAACCAGUCCUCCACUGUCAGCAGACGGAGGGUUGCUCGACGCAGACGCUAGGCAACGCCAUCAAACGUGCGGGCCUUCAAACAUGCCCGUGUCCACAAUGUAGGGGCAAACGAGAGUAGUCUUCACUCCUUCAACCUCGUCAGCCAGCAGCUCAUGUGCCAGAGACUCGUGGAAGCCCACUGCUGCAAACUUACUGGCACAGUAAUCCUGUCUCAAACAACAAAUCAAAACUUGUAUGGAAUAUUUAUAAAUUGAUUGUGAUUUUCCA